AGAGUUUGAUCCUGGCUCAGAUUGAACGCUGGCGGCAUGCCUAACACAUGCAAGUCGAACGGAAACGAUGGGAGCUUGCUCCCAGGCGUCGAGUGGCGGACGGGUGAGUAAUACUUAGGAAUCUGCCCAGUAGUGGGGGACAACUCGAGGAAACUCGAGCUAAUACCGCAUACGCCCCAAGGGGGAAAGCGGAGGAUCUUUCGGGACUUCGCGCUAUUGGAUGAGCCUAAGUCGGAUUAGCUUGUUGGUGAGGUAAAAGCUCACCAAGGCGACGAUCCGUAGCUGGUCUGAGAGGACGAUCAGCCACACUGGGACUGAGACACGGCCCAGACUCCUACGGGAGGCAGCAGUGGGGAAUAUUGGACAAUGGGGGAAACCCUGAUCCAGCAAUGCCGCGUGUGUGAAGAAGGCCUGCGGGUUGUAAAGCACUUUCAGUAGAGAAGAAAAGCCUAGGGUUAAUACCCCUGGGUCUUGACGUUACCUACAGAAGAAGCUCCGGCUAACUCCGUGCCAGCAGCCGCGGUAAUACGGAGGGAGCGAGCGUUAAUCGGAAUUACUGGGCGUAAAGCGCGCGUAGGCGGCUUUGUAAGUCGGAUGUGAAAGCCCUGGGCUCAACCUGGGAAUGGCAUUCGAUACUGCAUAACUAGAGUAUGGUAGAGGGAAGUGGAAUUUCCGGUGUAGCGGUGAAAUGCGUAGAUA
This 699-nucleotide ribosomal RNA is filed under the name uncultured bacterium. RNAcentral describes it as "bacterial SSU rRNA". It matches the Rfam family "Bacterial small subunit ribosomal RNA", at positions 8 to 696 of the family's 1533-position model. The record is from RNAcentral.